This is a small nuclear RNA of Cricetulus griseus (Chinese hamster), 107 nucleotides long. The record is from Ensembl. Lineage: Eukaryota; Metazoa; Chordata; Mammalia; Rodentia; Cricetidae.
GUGCUCGUUUUGGCAGCACAUAUACUAAAAUUGGAACGAUAUAGAGAAGAUUAGCAUGGCCAUUGCGCAAGGAUGACAUGCAAAUUCGUGAAGCAUUCUAUAUUUUU